This 489-nucleotide non-coding RNA is filed under the name Pongo abelii (Sumatran orangutan). The record is from RNAcentral. Lineage: Eukaryota; Metazoa; Chordata; Mammalia; Primates; Hominidae.
UGCAGCUUGCACAGAAGGUAUGGGAAUGGCAUUACUGCUUUAUUCUUUGCCUUGGUCUACACAGGAAUAAAGCAAGACAAGGUCUUGCUAUGUUGCCCAGGCUGUUCUUGAACUCCUAGAUAGGAAGAAACUGGUGCCUAAGGUCACACUGAUAAUAGAUGAAGUGAUGGAGCAAGGAUUCAACUGCCAGCAGUUUGGUUCCUCAGCCUCCCCCGAUCUCAAAUGCUACCCAUGACCAUCUGUUACACCUUAGUGGGAAUCUAAAUCAUCUAAUCACUAAAUGAUGUGCCCACUGCUUCAUCUCUACUUAUACAGUGAAAGAUCAUAGAUUUUAUCAAAGGUAUUUUGAGCAUCAAAUUGGAAAUCCUGGGAAACUCCUGGGCAUGGAGGACCUCAGAUGUCACCCUGCAGCUUUCUCUGUCUGUCUCUGAGAACAGAUCUAGAGCCUUAGUGCCGUCGCCACCACAGAUGGGCUAAAUUCAAGGACUG